This 445-nucleotide ribosomal RNA is filed under the name uncultured Blastococcus sp. RNAcentral's name for it is "bacterial SSU rRNA". It matches the Rfam family "Bacterial small subunit ribosomal RNA", at positions 338 to 795 of the family's 1533-position model. Lineage: Bacteria; Bacillati; Actinomycetota; Actinomycetes; Geodermatophilales; Geodermatophilaceae. The record is from RNAcentral.
CCUACGGGAGGCUGCAGUGGGGAAUAUUGCGCAAUGGGCGGAAGCCUGACGCAGCGACGCCGCGUGGGGGAUGACGGCCUUCGGGUUGUAAACCUCUUUCAGCAGGGACGAAGCGGAAGUGACGGUACCUGCAGAAGAAGCACCGGCCAACUACGUGCCAGCAGCCGCGGUAAUACGUAGGGUGCAAGCGUUGUCCGGAAUUAUUGGGCGUAAAGAGCUCGUAGGCGGUUUGUUGCGUCGGCUGUGAAAACCUGAGGCUCAACCUCAGGCCUGCAGUCGAUACGAGCAGACUAGAGUGUUGCAGGGGAGACUGGAAUUCCUGGUGUAGCGGUGAAAUGCGCAGAUAUCAGGAGGAACACCGGUGGCGAAGGCGGGUCUCUGGGCAACAACUGACGCUGAGGAGCGAAAGCGUGGGGAGCGAACAGGAUUAGAUACCCGUGUAGUC